This is a long non-coding RNA of Mustela erminea (ermine), 1560 nucleotides long. RefSeq lists it as uncharacterized. The transcript has 5 exons. NCBI's taxonomy places the organism in Eukaryota, Metazoa, Chordata, Mammalia, Carnivora, Mustelidae. The record is from RefSeq and is a predicted model, not a curated record.
GGAAAAGGUCAAUCCAGCCCACAGUUCCCCGACAGUUAUGGGUUUCUUGGCUAAGAUGUCUCCAACGGCCUUUGGGCUCUUGUUAAAAUGAAGAUUCUGGUUCAGUAUGUCUGCGAGGGACUUGAGACUCUGCAUUUCUAACCAGCGCCUAGGGGAUGCCACACAUAGAACCAGUCUCCUAUAAGGUCUGUUACAUUUCCCAGAAUGGUUCCCAGCGCUGGAGAUAAUUCCUUUUCGGAGAACCUACAUUUCUCACCUGCUGAUUGCAAUUAGCCACUGCCAGCUGGGGCCUGGUGUGCAGCUGAAAAGCUAACAAGAAGUGGAGACCACGCGGAACCCAGACAGGGCAGAGGAUGUGAAUAAAUAAGGAAUAGUGCCCGUGUGUAUGAGCCGCUCCCGUGAAUCCAAGGUUUCCUGACCCUCUGGAUGGCCCUCCCUCUUCCGGCUCUGUACUCCCCACCCCUCCCCCUCACUAUUUUAUUUUUAAUAUUUUUUUGGUCUCUGGCUUUGUAGCCUACACUUAACAUCAUGGUCACGAAUUUACCACUAAGUACAUUUUGUUAGGCAAUAAACAGCCUUGGAAGAAAAAUGAAAUCGGACUAGGGCUUCUGUUCCAAUCAUGUUUGUGAGCUGUGGUGGAAUCAGGCGGGCCCUGUGUGCAGGCCCUGGAGCUAACCUCGGAUAUGAGGACUGGCAGGACCUGGAGAGGCCUUGGGGACCACCAGAUCCGAACCCCUUCAUUUUAUGGGCGAGGACAUGGAAUCCCAGAAGGGGGGAGCAUGACUGAUCCAAAGACAUGGAGGAAGUUGCAGGGCUGGCUGAAAUCUACCUCUCCUGACCUCCAGCCCAGUCUCUAACCACUGAACUGCCUUGCCUUUGUCCAUUCUCUAGAGUUUGUGAGGAAAGCACCAAGGAGAUCGCCAACGGUUGGAAGAGGAGGAAACCUGAAGUCAAGGAUGGUAAAGCCACUGUCUCCAGCCACCAACUUCGUCUCCCUGUGAGGCACUCAGGGAAGAAGCCUAACACAAAGUCCGUUCUCCAAAGACAAGCAAUUCUGUGCAGGUUUGAGAUGGCUAAUGCCUCCCCCUUCCUGAGCAUCAGUCCCUCGUGUUUUCCAGAGGCUUAGACAAGACGGUCUCAGACUUUGCAGUGCUAACACGCCAUGCUUCCAUGAACUUGUGAAUUAUGCAAAGUGAUCAGAGUUGUGAGAUGCCUGCACAAUCACCCCCCCCCCCAGGUCUCCUGUGAACUUCCCCAGAGGGGAGCUGACAAAUUGUUAAACGGACUCAUGCAGAAAGUGCAGAAAGUUCCGAGUGUCUAAUGGGGGACCCUGCAGCAUCCUGGAACUUGGGAUCCAUUGGUUGCCUGCCUCUCUGUAAGUCUUAAUAGAUAAAACCAGAAAAAAAUAACUAGGCUUGAGCUGUCUUUUAAAGAGUCUGAGCAAAGAGAAUGCAGGUAAUCUGUAAGGAGGAGGCAAGAGCUUGGAUUCCAGAAGUGAAUGUCCCUGGGGGAGCCUGGGUCGCUCAAUGGGUUAAGCCUCUGCCUUCAGGUCAGGUCAUG